AGUUCUCAUUUGUAACUCAUCAAACAUUUUAAUUUAAAACUGCUUUUCUUGUUUGACUUCAUCGGUUUUAUUUUAUUUGCAUCAUCAAAAAUGACUAAAAUGGUUCUUACAAUUUUUUUAGUGUUCUUCAUUUUCGGAAUGGUGAUGGAGAAUACGCAAGGACGUAUAUGUCAUGCGACUCAUGCCUAUCAUGAAGGAGAUGGUUGUGAACC
Camelina sativa (false flax) is the source of this 212-nucleotide non-coding RNA. The record is from RefSeq and is a predicted model, not a curated record. NCBI's taxonomy places the organism in Eukaryota, Viridiplantae, Streptophyta, Magnoliopsida, Brassicales, Brassicaceae.